RNAcentral lists this ribosomal RNA (497 nucleotides) under uncultured bacterium. RNAcentral describes it as "partial 16S ribosomal RNA". It matches the Rfam family "Bacterial small subunit ribosomal RNA", at positions 28 to 507 of the family's 1533-position model. The record is from RNAcentral.
GAUGAACGCUGGCGGCGUGCCUAAUACAUGCAAGUCGAGCGAACAGACGAGGAGCUUGCUCCUCUGACGUUAGCGGCGGACGGGUGAGUAACACGUGGAUAACCUACCUAUAUGACUGGGAUAACUACGGGAAACCGGAGCUAAUACCGGAUAAUAUAUUGAACCGCAUGGUUCAAUAGUGAAAGACGGUUUUGCUGUCACUUAUAGAUGGAUCCGCGCCGCAUUAGCUAGUUGGUAAGGUAACGGCUUACCAAGGCAACGAUGCGUAGCCGACCUGAGAGGGUGAUCGGCCACACUGGAACUGAGACACGGUCCAGACUCCUACGGGAGGCAGCAGUAGGGAAUCUUCCGCAAUGGGCGAAAGCCUGACGGAGCAACGCCGCGUGAGUGAUGAAGGUCUUCGGAUCGUAAAGCUCUGUUAUUGGGGAAGAACAAAUGUGUAAGUAACUAUGCACGUCUUGACGGUACCUAAUCAGAAAGCCACGGCUAACUACGUG